CCUACGGGAGGCAGCAGUGGGGGAUAUUGCACAAUGGGGGGAACCCUGAUGCAGCGACGCCGCGUGGGUGAAGGAGCGUUUCGGCGCGUAAAGCCCUAGCGGCAGGGAAGAAGAAGACGGUACCUGGCCAAGAAGCCCCGGCUAACGACGUGCCAGCAGCCGCGGUAAGACGUAGGGGGCAAGCGUUAUCCGGAUUUACUGGGUGUAAAGGGGGCGCAGCCGGCAAUGCAAGCCAGGAGGGAAAGCCCGGGGCCCAACCCCGGGACUGCUCUUGGAACUGCAUGGCUGGAGUACAGGAGGGGCAGGCGGACUUCCUCGUGUCGCGGUGAACUGCGUCGCUAUUCGGAGGAACCCCGGUGGCGAAGGCGGCCUGCUGGACUGUGCCUGCCGUUGAGGCCCGCCGGCGUGGGGAGCACAC
Molecule: ribosomal RNA, 418 nt
Filed under: uncultured bacterium
Lineage: Bacteria
Description: partial 16S ribosomal RNA
Rfam family: Bacterial small subunit ribosomal RNA
Source: RNAcentral